Molecule: ribosomal RNA, 500 nt
Filed under: uncultured bacterium
Lineage: Bacteria
Description: partial 16S ribosomal RNA
Rfam family: Bacterial small subunit ribosomal RNA
Source: RNAcentral
AUUGAACGCUGGCGGAAUGCUUUACACAUGCAAGUCGAACGGCAGCACGGACUUCGGUCUGGUGGCGAGUGGCGAACGGGUGAGUAAUGCAUCGGAACGUGCCCAGUCGUGGGGGAUAACGUAGUGAAAAUUACGCUAAUACCGCAUACGAUCUAUGGAUGAAAGCGGGGGAUCGCAAGACCUCGCGCGAUUGGAGCGGCCGAUAUCAGAUUAGGUAGUUGGUGGGGUAAAGGCCCACCAAGCCAACGAUCUGUAGCUGGUCUGAGAGGACGACCAGCCACACUGGAACUGAGACACGGUCCAGACUCCUACGGGAGGCAGCAGUGGGGAAUUUUGGACAAUGGGCGCAAGCCUGAUCCAGCCAUGCCGCGUGUCUGAAGAAGGCCUUCGGGUUGUAAAGGACUUUUGUCAGGGAGGAAAUCCUUAGCGCUAAUACCGUUGAGGGAUGACAGUACCUGAAGAAUAAGCACCGGCUAACUACGUGCCAGCCGCCGCGGUAA